UACAGGGGGGGGCAAGCGUUGUUCGGAAUUACUGGGCGUAAAGGGCUCGUAGGCGGCCAACUAAGUCCGACGUGAAAUCCCCAGGCUUAACCUGGGAACUGCGUCGGAUACUGGAUGGCUUGAAUUCGGGAGAGGGAUGCAGAAUUCCAGGUGUAGCGGUGAAAUGCGUAGAUAUCUGGAGGAAUACCGGUGGCGAAGGCGGCAUCCUGGACCGACAUUGACGCUGAUGAGCGAAAGCUAGGGGAGCAAACGGG
Molecule: ribosomal RNA, 254 nt
Filed under: uncultured bacterium
Lineage: Bacteria
Description: partial 16S ribosomal RNA
Rfam family: Bacterial small subunit ribosomal RNA
Source: RNAcentral